AUGUGGUUACAUUAAAUUACCCAAAGGUGGUGCCAAUGUUUUCGCGGUCAACACAUGAUCGUUUGUUGAUUAUCUCGAGAGAUUUUAAUUGUUGUUUCAUCUUAAUUGUAACGAAAUUAACAACUAUCACGAUUAUUACUAAUUGUUUUCCAUGUUCCAAAUUAUUGAAGGAGAUUCGGUUUUAUGUGAUCAUCUUUUUCUUUGGUACAUGUAAUGAAAAUCAUCAGAGAAAAGUCAUCAACAGGUAACCACAAUUACGCAACUUGAUCAGUUAAUUAUUUGUGUGUGAUUUUAAUCAAUUUUUCUUUUAAAUUGUUUAUUUAAUUUCUUCAUCUCGGAAGAAACAUGAUUCAAGUGAUUGAUGGAAUUGUAAAAUAUAUUUAAUGUGUAUUCUUUUUAAUGAUAUUUCGCACUUAUCCUAUUUGGCUUUUUUUCUCAGUGUUUCUUAUGUUUCAUGUAAACAUUUAACUCGCCAUCAGUUUAAUGGUUUAUAAUUAAACUUUACAGGUAAAAAAAGGUGUAAAUGAGAUUUAACCAGUUUAAUUAAUAAACUACCACACAAUCAAGUUGAUUAAGAGGAUUCGCCUUGAAUUUACCUUGAAUGAUUAAUUUUACUUUGGGUUAAAAAUCAACCAAGUUACCAUCCCAAUCGUGUUGGUAAUUCCUGUAACCAUUUUCAAUGGAUCAGCAAAGUUUACAUGUUUAAUUUGAUUGUAAUCAAUUGAUCUUCAAUUCUUAAUUGUCGUCAUUAUUACAAUUAAACGAUGAUAAUAACGAUCAUAACGAUUAACUUAAUUGAUGUUGAUAAGUAAAUGACCUGGGAUAAGAUAAUUAAACAUGAUUAGGAUGCGAAAGUAAAUUUUUACAACCUUAAGGCUGCGAAAACGAUACAAACCAAAUUAACUGUACAUUUGAAUAAACUAUUAACUUUUUUGUAAUAGUUAAUUAAUUAGUUUGCCUCUUGU
Panonychus citri (citrus red mite) is the source of this 965-nucleotide long non-coding RNA. RefSeq lists it as uncharacterized. NCBI's taxonomy places the organism in Eukaryota, Metazoa, Arthropoda, Arachnida, Trombidiformes, Tetranychidae. The transcript is spliced from 3 exons. The record is from RefSeq and is a predicted model, not a curated record.